RNAcentral lists this ribosomal RNA (531 nucleotides) under uncultured bacterium. RNAcentral describes it as "bacterial SSU rRNA". It matches the Rfam family "Bacterial small subunit ribosomal RNA", at positions 355 to 896 of the family's 1533-position model. The record is from RNAcentral.
UGGGGAAUAUUGCACAAUGGGCGGAAGCCUGAUGCAGCAACGCCGCGUGCGGGAUGACGGCCUUCGGGUUGUAAACCGCUUUCGCCUGUGACGAAGCGUGAGUGACGGUAAUGGGUAAAGAAGCACCGGCUAACUACGUGCCAGCAGCCGCGGUGAUACGUAGGGUGCGAGCGUUGUCCGGAUUUAUUGGGCGUAAAGGGCUCGUAGGUGGUUGAUCGCGUCGGAAGUGUAAUCUUGGGGCUUAACCCUGAGCGUGCUUUCGAUACGGGUUGACUUGAGGAAGGUAGGGGAGAAUGGAAUUCCUGGUGGAGCGGUGGAAUGCGCAGAUAUCAGGAGGAACACCAGUGGCGAAGGCGGUUCUCUGGGCCUUCCCUGACGCUGAGGAGCGAAAGCGUGGGGAGCGAACAGGCUUAGAUACCCUGGUAGUCCACGCUGUAAACGGUGGGUACUAGGUGUGGGGUCCAUUCCACGGGUUCCGUGCCGUAGCUAACGCUUUAAGUACCCCGCCUGGGGAGUACGGCCGCAAGGCUA